GCAGUCGUACGAUGGAUACCCGUAAUGCUGGGUGGAUUAGUGGCGAACGGGUGAGUAACACGUGAGUAACCUGCCCUUAACUCUGGGAUAAGCCUGGGAAACUGGGUCUAAUACCGGAUAGGAGCGCCCACCGCAUGGUGGGUGUUGGAAAGAUUUAUCGGUUUUGGAUGGACUCGCGGCCUAUCAGCUUGUUGGUGAGGUAAUGGCUCACCAAGGCGACGACGGGUAGCCGGCCUGAGAGGGUGACCGGCCACACUGGGACUGAGACACGGCCCAGACUCCUACGGGAGGCAGCAGUGGGGAAUAUUGCACAAUGGGCGCAAGCCUGAUGCAGCGACGCCGCGUGAGGGAUGACGGCCUUCGGGUUGUAAACCUCUUUCAGUAGGGAAGAAGCGAAAGUGACGGUACCUGCAGAAGAAGCACCGGCUAACUACGUGCCAGCAGCCGCGGUAAUACGUAGGGUGCGAGCGUUAUCCGGAAUUAUUGGGCGUAAAGAGCUCGUAGGCGGUUUGUCGCGUCUGUCGUGAAAGUCCGGGGCUUAACCCCGGAUCUGCGGUGGGUACGGGCAGACUAGAGUGCAGUAGGGGAGACUGGAAUUCCUGGUGUAGCGGUGGAAUGCGCAGAUAUCAGGAGGAACACCGAUGGCGAAGGCAGGUCUCUGGGCUGUAACUGACGCUGAGGAGCGAAAGCAUGGGGAGCGAACAGGAUUAGAUACCCUGGUAGUCCAUGCCGUAAACGUUGGGCACUAGGUGUGGGGACCAUUCCACGGUUUCCGCGCCGCAGCUAACGCAUUAAGUGCCCCGCCUGGGGAGUACGGCCGCAAGGCUAACACUCAAAGGAAUUGACGGGGGCCCGCACAAGCGGCGGAGCAUGCGGAUUAAUUCGAUGCAACGCGAAGAACCUUACCAAGGCUUGACAUGUUCUCGAUCGCCGUAGAGAUACGGUUUCCCCUUUGGGGCGAGUUCACAGGUGGUGCAUGGUUGUCGUCAACUCGUGUCCUGAAAUGUUGAGUUAAGUCCCGCAACGAGCGCAACCCUCGUUCCAUGUUGCCAGCACGUAAUGGUGGGGGACUCAUGGGAAGACUGCCGGGGGUCAACUCCGAAGGAAGGGGAGGACGACGUCCAAUCAUCAGGCCCCUUAGGUCUUGGGGCUUCCGCAUGCUUACAUGGGCCGGGUCAAUGGGGUUGGCAAAACCGUGGAGGUGGAACCUAUUCCCAAAAAGCCGGUUUCAGUUCCGAAUGGGGGUCCUGCACCUCGAACCCUGGUAAGUCGGAAUCCUCUGUAAUCCCCGAAUUACCCAACCCUUGCGGGUGAAUUCGUUCCCCGUGUCCUUGUUCAACCCUGCCCGUU
This is a ribosomal RNA of 1350 nucleotides. It matches the Rfam family "Bacterial small subunit ribosomal RNA", at positions 57 to 1398 of the family's 1533-position model.